ACCCUUUGAUCAAAUAACUACCACUAGGUGCACUCAUAUCGCCACCCGUUUAGAACUGUCACAACAGUACACGCAUAGUGUGUUUGUUGUGACACAAUCAGUGUCUUGUUUGAACCGUGCCAACAUCGAACAUACUAGGGAAUACAGCAGGCUUGCAAUACCAAACUGGCAACUAUGUAGAUAUACAGGGCAAGAAUCCACUACAGGCGACGCAACUGUUUUCAAAGAGAUGCACCCGAACCGCAGUGUUCAUUGCGAAAUCCUCUAUAUUUACGAACGAUGUAAAUAGUGGACGAGUCAAGCUUUCUUUCAGGAAGCACAGAGUUAUGGAACACCACUGUCUGUCACUGCUACUGAUUUUAUACGGUUCAGAAAUUGUGAAAGGAUGGUGCUACAUGGAUUGGUUUGAACCGGUUGAUUGUGUAAAGGGAGAGCACUGUUGUGGGAGUGGCAGAGCUGCAAAAUGCUGUAAGGAAGGAGAACCUGACCCAAUACCAUCCGUGAUAGGAAUAACUGUUGGAGUGAUCGCUGGGGGGCUGCUUCUUGGGGGAGUCGUGUACCUGUGUAAGAAGAUGUGCACCCCAAGAUGAAGAAGUAAAAAAACAGAAAUUCAAUUUAUCUGACUCGUCAGGUUUGCUUCUGGAACCCCAGCCUUGGCGUAUCGGGUGCUCUAUCCUGCAGGAGUUGUCUCCCUUCACUACAUCCUUCUCAAACCCAAACCGAGUAAAAGGACGCCAUCGAUUGUGUGAACAUCUCUCUGGCGUACCCACAAGUACACGGGUAGAUGCAACUGUAUCAGGGGUAUAUCCUGUAUUUGUCCGUCCAAAUCAUUUUAACCACACACACCAUCCUAAUGCAUUCAAAAGUUCUGCUGUAAAUAUUAUAUUUUUACACAAUGUCAAGUAUCGAAGUGCGCAUAUUGUAUAUAUGAAGUUUACACGAAUAAAUAAACCGGCUAUGAAA
Molecule: long non-coding RNA, 963 nt
Organism: Haliotis rufescens (red abalone)
Lineage: Eukaryota; Metazoa; Mollusca; Gastropoda; Lepetellida; Haliotidae
Exons: 4
Source: RefSeq, a predicted model, not a curated record